GCUCUGGCCCGCGGAAGAAUGGGGGCACAGCCUAGAGCGCGCUCGGUUAAACUUAACUGAAAGGGAGCUCCGGUCAGCACUGGUUUAAGUGGAAGCGCUAGCGCUGUGAUUCUUUAACGUUUUACAGUCAGAACCUACGUGUUGAAAACCGUAGCCCUUCGCCUGAGAUGGACGAGGACCCUUAACUCCCGAUAGCUGGGAACUAUUGCAGAGACCCACUGGAGUCAGUGAACCCCACUCCACUUAUAACUGUCAGCGUCGAAUAGCACAAAAGCUGACACUGUCUAAACUGUGUGCUGUAACUGAACAUCUGUAGAAACACACCAACCGCUGCUCCAAAGUUCCUCAUUUGCAGGUGACUCCCUUCCAACCCCACAGUUAACUUGGAACUUCGACUAAUUCCAGAUGAAAAAGCCGAAGUUCAGAGAAGACUUGUUCCUGGGGCCAGCAAGUGGCAUGGUGGGUAAGGAACUGGAUGCCCACAUGACCA
This is a long non-coding RNA of Tupaia belangeri chinensis (Chinese tree shrew), 490 nucleotides long. RefSeq lists it as uncharacterized. The record is from RefSeq and is a predicted model, not a curated record. The transcript has 3 exons. NCBI's taxonomy places the organism in Eukaryota, Metazoa, Chordata, Mammalia, Scandentia, Tupaiidae.